This 437-nucleotide ribosomal RNA is filed under the name uncultured Oscillospiraceae bacterium. RNAcentral describes it as "bacterial SSU rRNA". It matches the Rfam family "Bacterial small subunit ribosomal RNA", at positions 341 to 792 of the family's 1533-position model. The record is from RNAcentral. Lineage: Bacteria; Bacillati; Bacillota; Clostridia; Eubacteriales; Oscillospiraceae.
ACGGAAGGCAGCAGUGGGGAAUAUUGGGCAAUGGGCGAAAGCCUGACCCAGCAACGCCGCGUGAAGGAAGAAGGUCUUCGGAUUGUAAACUUCUUUUAUCAGGGACGAAGGAAGUGACGGUACCUGAUGAAUAAGCCACGGCUAACUACGUGCCAGCAGCCGCGGUAAUACGUAGGUGGCAAGCGUUAUCCGGAUUUACUGGGUGUAAAGGGCGCGUAGGCGGGGAAGCAAGUCAGAUGUGAAAUCUAUGGGCUUAACUCAUAAACUGCAUUUGAAACUGUUUCUCUUGAGUGCUGGAGAGGUAGAUGGAAUUCCUAGUGUAGCGGUGAAAUGCGUAGAUAUUAGGAAGAACACCAGUGGCGAAGGCGAUCUACUGGACAGUAACUGACGCUGAGGCGCGAAAGCGUGGGGAGCAAACAGGAUUAGAUACCCUGGUA